Long non-coding RNA from Salarias fasciatus (jewelled blenny), 162 nucleotides. RefSeq lists it as uncharacterized. The record is from RefSeq and is a predicted model, not a curated record. Lineage: Eukaryota; Metazoa; Chordata; Actinopteri; Blenniiformes; Blenniidae. The transcript is spliced from 3 exons.
CAGAUUGAAUGCGUAUGCCAGGAGAGCUGGAGUAAAGGUGAAAGAUCUAUUCAUCCAUCUUCAAUACUGACUUACCACAGUCCAGGACAGGAGGAGGAGUGAAGGCAGAGUACACACUGCACCAGUGGUGUGAAUACUCGUGCUGAUGCAGCAUUUCUCUAA